This 1474-nucleotide ribosomal RNA is filed under the name uncultured bacterium. RNAcentral's name for it is "bacterial SSU rRNA". It matches the Rfam family "Bacterial small subunit ribosomal RNA". The record is from RNAcentral.
GAGAGUUUGAUCCUGGCUCAGGACGAACGCUGGCGGCACGCUUAACACAUGCAAGUCGAACGAGAGAAGAGGAGCUUGCUUUUCUGAUCUAGUGGCGGACGGGUGAGUAACACGUGAGCAAUCUGCCUUUCAGAGGGGGAUACCGAUUGGAAACGAUCGUUAAUACCGCAUAAUAUAAUUGAACCGCAUGAUUUGAUUAUCAAAGAUUUAUCGCUGAAAGAUGAGCUCGCGUCUGAUUAGCUAGUUGGUAAGGUAACGGCUUACCAAGGCGACGAUCAGUAGCCGGACUGAGAGGUUGAUCGGCCACAUUGGGACUGAGACACGGCCCAGACUCCUACGGGAGGCAGCAGUGGGGAAUAUUGCACAAUGGAGGAAACUCUGAUGCAGCGAUGCCGCGUGAGGGAAGAAGGUUUUAGGAUUGUAAACCUCUGUCUUCAGGGACGAAAAAUGACGGUACCUGAGGAGGAAGCUCCGGCUAACUACGUGCCAGCAGCCGCGGUAAUACGUAGGGAGCGAGCGUUGUCCGGAAUUACUGGGUGUAAAGGGAGCGUAGGCGGGAUCGCAAGUCAGAUGUGAAACUAUGGGCUUAACCCAUAAACUGCACUUGAAACUGUGGUUCUUGAGUGAAGUAGAGGUAAGCGGAAUUCCUAGUGUAGCGGUGAAAUGCGUAGAUAUUAGGAGGAACAUCAGUGGCGAAGGCGGCUUACUGGGCUUUAACUGACGCUGAGGCUCGAAAGCGUGGGGAGCAAACAGGAUUAGAUACCCUGGUAGUCCACGCCGUAAACGAUGAUUACUAGGUGUGGGGGGACUGACCCCUUCCGUGCCGCAGCAAACGCAAUAAGUAAUCCACCUGGGGAGUACGACCGCAAGGUUGAAACUCAAAGGAAUUGACGGGGGCCCGCACAAGCAGUGGAGUAUGUGGAUUAAUUCGAAGCAACGCGAAGAACCUUACCAGGUCUUGACAUCGUAUGCAUAGCUCAGAGAUGAGUGAAAUCUCUUCGGAGACAUAUAGACAGGUGGUGCAUGGUUGUCGUCAGCUCGUGUCGUGAGAUGUUGGGUUAAGUCCCGCAACGAGCGCAACCCUUACUGUUAGUUGCUACGCAAGAGCACUCUAGCAGGACUGCCGUUGACAAAACGGAGGAAGGUGGGGAUGACGUCAAAUCAUCAUGCCCCUUAUGACCUGGGCCUCACACGUACUACAAUGGCUGUAAACAGAGGGAUGCAAAGCCGCGAGGUGGAGCGAACCCCUAAAAGCAGUCUUAGUUCGGAUUGUAGGCUGCAACCCGCCUACAUGAAGUCGGAAUUACUAGUAAUCGCAGAUCAGCAUGCUGCGGUGAAUACGUUCCCGGGCCUUGUACACACCGCCCGUCACGCCAUGGGAGUCGGUAACACCCGAAGCCUGUAGUCUAACCGCAAGGAGGACGCAGUCGAAGGUGGGAUUGAUGACUGGGGUGAAGUCGUAACAAGGUAGCCG